Molecule: unclassified non-coding RNA, 2178 nt
Filed under: uncultured fungus
Lineage: Eukaryota; Fungi
Description: sequence contains 18S rRNA gene, ITS1, 5.8S rRNA gene, ITS2, 28S rRNA gene
Rfam family: Eukaryotic large subunit ribosomal RNA (bases 1008-2178)
Source: RNAcentral
GGAGGGAUCAUUAACACAUAUACAUAUGCAGACAUACAUGUGUUUCGAAAGGGACAUGUGGAUGUGUGUGUAUACUACCAACAACGUGAACAAUGGUGAGGCAGCUUGCCUGUCUCAUCGCUCUCCCCUACUGUGUGUAGGCAGGCUACGUGCGUGUAUGUAUGUAUAUGCCCGUCUCCUCCUCAUGCUUUAGGACCAUUUUUUACACAAACGAACAAACACAUUAACCCAGUACUAUUACUACACAUUGUACUGCAAUCGUAUGUGUGUGUGUGUAUGCUUGCAUAUCUGCCCACUCCUACCUGCAGUGUUUUCUAAUCAAAACUAAAUGUACAACUGUUAGCAAUGGAUAUCUUGGUUCUCGUAACGAUGAAGAACGCAGCGAAAUGCGAUAUGUAAUGCGAAUUGCAGAAUUCAGUGAAUCAUCAAAUUUUUCAACGCAAAUGGCGCUUGAGGGAUAGACCCACAAGCACGACUCUCUCAGUAUCAGUGAAAACCAUUACACACUCAUCGCAUGUAUACAUACAUCAGUAUGCACACAUGCGAUGGACAAUGAAAGUCAGGCGAGGUGGGUAUGUGUCUGUCUAUGACUGUCACAUGCUGCAUACGUCUGUCUUUUUAAAUGUUGUUUCCUGACUGUGAAUCGUUCGAACAAUGAUUGAGUGACUUGGUGUGUGUGUGUGUGUGUGUGUGUUUACAUACUCAUGCAUACAUGCACACGACUAUUGCAAUACUGUUAGUAUUGACGUGGCUGAUACUCGUUGCACUGUGUUCACACACAUUGCCAAUGUUGUUUUUCAUACGUCGAUGCGCUAUGAUCGUAUAUAGCAUUAGACAUGCAUGCAGGCGUAUACAUACAUAUGUAUGUAUAUGUAUGCAGACAGACAGCUCACUCGCAUACAUGAUUGUUGCCCGAACACAGCUCACAGUAGCAUAUGGAGCAGAGGCAGUAUGCACGUCUACUCGCGUUUACGUGCGUUCUCUCCUCUUCUCUCCCCUUGUCAUGUUGAUCUGAGAUGAAUCGCGACUACCCCCUGAAUUUAAGCAUAUUAAUAAGGGGAGGAAAAGAACAUAACCAUGAUUGCCUCAGUAACGGCGAGUGAAGCGGCAACAGCUCAACGUGAAAAUCGUCCACCCAUGCGGGUGAGACGAGAUGUAUCCUAUCGACGCGCUAUCAGCGAGUGGCGGCUGUGUAAGUCCCUUGGAAGAGGGCAUCAAAGAGGGUGAGAAUCCCGUCUCCUCACAGCACGUGCAACACACCGCGUACGAUGCGCGCUCCUCGAGUCGAGUUGUUUGGGAUUGCAGCUCUAAUUGGGUGGUAAGUUUCAUCUAAAGCUAAAUACACACGAGAGACCGAUAGCGAACAAGUACCGUGAGGGAAAGAUGAAAAGAACUUUGAAAAGAGAGUGAAACAGUACUUGAAAUUGCUAAGAGGGAAGCGCUGAGCACUAGUCGAAUGGUGUGAUGAUUCAUUUUGCCCGCAUCAUGAGUGGUCGAUCCGCCCGUCUCUCACGUUGGUUAACUCGUGAGGGGCGGGUGGGCUCGGUUGGCUACUGUGCGGGUACUGUGAGUUGUACCGGUCAGAAUGGGUUCGACUGGCCUGUGAAAAGCCCGCGCGAAAGGUAGGCAGUAGCAAUACUGCUGUUAUAGUCGUGCGGGUCUAGCAGGUGUCGGACUGAGGAAAAACAGUUUUAUGAUGCUCCACUAGGCUUCGCUGCGGGCACCAGAGGGGGGCAGAGUGCGAACACGUCAAUGACGUGCAGCUCUCCUCUCUCCUCUCUCAACGUGUCCGACAGUCGAUAUGCAUGCAUAACGAUUCUGACAAAAUAGUGCUCAUCGACCCGUCUUGAAACACGGACCAAGGAGUCUAACAUAUAUGCGAGUAUUAGGGUUGACCAAGCCCACGAUGCGCAAUGAAAGUAAAGGUGCGGGUUACUGCACUGAGGUAGGAAGGCGGGCAGCAAUGCCUGUUGGCACUAUCGACCGAUCAUCACUUGUGAGUAGAUUUGAGUAAGAGCAUAUCUGUUGGGACCCGAAAGAUGGUGAUCUAUGCCUGAACAGGGUGAAGCCAGGGGAAACUCUGGUGGAGGCUCGUAGCGAUACUGACGUGCAAAUCGUUCGUCUGAUUUGGGUAUAGGGGCGAAAGACUAAUCGAACUAUCUAGUAGCUGGUUCCCUC